This 411-nucleotide long non-coding RNA is filed under the name Pan troglodytes (chimpanzee). RNAcentral's name for it is "lincRNA". Lineage: Eukaryota; Metazoa; Chordata; Mammalia; Primates; Hominidae. The record is from RNAcentral.
GCCACCACGCCCAGAUAAUUUUUUUGUAUUUUUAGUAGAGACGGGGUUUCAUCGUGUUAGCCAGGAUGGUCUCGAUCUCCUGACCUCGUGAUCCUCCCGCCUCGGCCUCCCAAAGUGCUGGGAUUACAGGCGUGAGCCACCGCGCCCGGCCAAAAGUCUUUUAAGAUAGGGAAGAGCAGUGCCCAGUGGGGUGUCCCAGGGAUAAAAAUAGGGCAGUAGGUGAAGGCGGGGGGUGUGAGCCAGGCAGGCAGGGACCAGACACCAUGUGAUGGGUGCAGGGGUGGGACCCACGGAAGGUCUGAAAAAGGCCUGGGCCUUAGAAGAUGGGGAAGCAGGAGGACCCACUUAGAGGCCUUCACAACCUUCUAGGGCACAGGCCAGAAUGCGGUAUAGGUUUCAGAAGGGGGCUGG